Molecule: non-coding RNA, 611 nt
Filed under: unclassified sequences
Description: ROOL RNA
Rfam family: ROOL RNA
About the family: Firmicutes, Fusobacteria (1 example), Tenericutes (1 example). Environment (Cow rumen (57))
Source: Rfam by way of RNAcentral
UUCUGAAUAUCUUCAUAUACCGAACCGUGUGCAUAAGGCUCCUGACAGGGCUUCACGGACUGACGUGUGACGGAACGCCACUGAUAUGUCUGAUAGGACAUUGAGGUAACAGAGCGUCUUAAAAGAGGGCAACUGAUUUUAAGGGAGUACGUAAGACACUUGGUACAACUUCAGGGCGUCAGGUGGGAUAGAAGGAUGAGGGAAAAGGCAGGGUGUUAGGGACUGUUCCUGUAUAAUAGACGACCACGGUGUGGGAAUAACCCGUGAAUAUCAUAAGGCUUUGCGGGCUUAUGGGGAUAGCGGGAAAUAUGCAGGUGGGAAAUGUGCGGCUGAGACGGGGGAAACUUCGGGUAUAAAGUCUGACACCUGUACACUGGCACAAGUCCGUACAAAUUUCUUAUUAUAAGUCGAAUAAUAAUAAAUCUGAAUGUCGUGCUGGUGUUGGGGGUACAAAAUAAUCCCCUGUGUACAAGGUUGCGAUGAGAACCGUAAUUCGUAGGGAAGUAUUGGAGUCGCUAUCCAAUGCUCAGACCCUGCGAUACAGUGGCUGAAGAUUCCUGUUUCCUUUGAAGAUACGCUGAAUAAAAGGCGUGGUAUGUGGGGAUGUUCAG